This 496-nucleotide ribosomal RNA is filed under the name uncultured bacterium. RNAcentral's name for it is "partial 16S ribosomal RNA". It matches the Rfam family "Bacterial small subunit ribosomal RNA", at positions 28 to 506 of the family's 1533-position model. The record is from RNAcentral.
GACGAACGCUGGCGGCGUGCCUAAUACAUGCAAGUUGAGCGCUGAAGGUUGGUACUUGUACCAACUGGAUGAGCAGCGAACGGGUGAGUAACGCGUGGGGAAUCUGCCUUUGAGCGGGGGACAACAUUUGGAAACGAAUGCUAAUACCGCAUAAAAACUUUAAACACAAGUUUUAAGUUUGAAAGAUGCAAUUGCAUCACUCAAAGAUGAUCCCGCGUUGUAUUAGCUAGUUGGUGAGGUAAAGGCUCACCAAGGCGAUGAUACAUAGCCGACCUGAGAGGGUGAUCGGCCACAUUGGGACUGAGACGCGGCCCAAACUCCUACGGGAGGCAGCAGUAGGGAAUCUUCGGCAAUGGACGAAAGUCUGACCGAGCAACGCCGCGUGAGUGAAGAAGGUUUUCGGAUCGUAAAACUCUGUUGGUAGAGAAGAACGUUGGUGAGAGUGGAAAGCUCAUCAAGUGACGGUAACUACCCAGAAAGGGACGGCUAACUACGU